UGCCCACAUCUCGUUGAAACACUGGUUCCUGUAUGAUCACUGAAGUUAAGCAACAUUGAGUCUGGUCAGUACAUAGAUGGGUGACUGCUUGGGAAUACCAAGUACUGUAA
Acanthosepion pharaonis is the source of this 110-nucleotide non-coding RNA. NCBI's taxonomy places the organism in Eukaryota, Metazoa, Mollusca, Cephalopoda, Sepiida, Sepiidae. The record is from the annotation of a GenBank genome assembly.